GAUCUGUGCCCAGUGAUAUCCAAUCUGUAUGCAUCAAGAAACUGGCUACAUAUGAGUCUAGUCCCAACUUUAUCUACUAUGUAGCCCAGGCUGACCUUGACCUUGUGAUCCUUCCACCUCAUAGGCUCCUGGGCACUAGGAUUACAGAUGUCUGCCACUUUGCCUGGCUCAGAGCUGGCUUUGGAGAGCCAUUGGAACAUGCCCCAGGAGCACAGGCAUGUGACAAAGGUGCACCACACAAGCUCAGGAAUGCAUCGCAGCCUAUAUCCCAGCAGGAAGCUACAUGCAGUUGGAGCUGCUUGUGACACCCCUGGGUGUUAUGUGUGGCCAUAUGUAGGUAUAUGAAGGAUGCAUUGGGUUCAAAGCUAUCCAGAAAAGAGGUUGGGCUAAUCAUGGAGUCUCACAAUAACCUGUAGAGAGAAUAUCUUGUGUGUUGUAUGGAGGCAUUACCUGUCAAUUUAAAAACCUACAGGAAAGGGUAGAAUAGAAGGUGGAACAUCUGGGAGGCAGAAAGGAUUCUGGAAUAGAGUGAGGUGAUAAAGAUUCCCCCUGGAAAAGAUGUGACAAGACGGACUCAUGGUAUCAGAACACAGAUAAGCAGUCACAUGGCAGACUGUAGAUUGGAAUAAAUGGGCAAUUUAAGUUAUGAUCUAGUCAGAGAAGAGCCUAGCUAUAUGGCCAAGGUAUUUGUAAAA
Mus musculus (house mouse) is the source of this 695-nucleotide long non-coding RNA. RefSeq annotates it as predicted gene, 46023. NCBI's taxonomy places the organism in Eukaryota, Metazoa, Chordata, Mammalia, Rodentia, Muridae. The record is from RefSeq and is a predicted model, not a curated record. The transcript has 2 exons.